CUAGGGUAAAUAUAGGGAAAGGGACUGAAUCCUGUUUAGAUCCAAUGUGGGUGUCUGCGUCUAUGGCAGGGAGGUGUGAGUUGCGAGUGAUGAGACUCCACCGUAGGGAGUGAUCAUUACCCUAUUGUUGGUAGGUUUGAGGCUGGUGUGUGUAUGCAGAGCAGAGGUCAUGGCAAGAGGUGGUGUUAUGAGAAGGCUGAUUGGAUCAAGUUCAAGUACUUGCGUGAGAGGGUAGGACGGAAGUUGACGAUGGAGGGAUCAGUGAAUGAAUGUGCUCAGGAACUGACAAGUAUGCUAGUGGCAGCAGCAAAUGGAAAAUGUUCAGGAAAAUGUUGGGUAAAGGAGGAGAUGCGGAAAUACCAGUGUUGGUGGUGGGGGAUGCAAUUGCUAUGACCGGUAAGGAAAAGGUGGAUGCGUUGGGGGUAGCAUUUGCGAAGGUUCACAGUGGCGAGCACCUAUGUGAGGAGGCGAUGCGAGAUGUUAAAACAAAACGGAGAUGUGUUUCAUAAGAAGGUAGGGACGGAGGAGGUGAUGGAUGCGGAAUUCAGUUUGAGCUGACGAGGGCACUGGUGGUAUGCAGGCGUUCGGCACCGGGAGAGGAUAGGGUAUGCUAUGAGAUGGUGAUGAAGGCCCCUGAUAAUGUAAUGGAAGCUAUAGUAGGGCUGUUUAACAAGGUGUGGAGGACUGGGGUGCUGCCGGACGGGUGGAAGCAGGCCGUAGUACUGCCGUUUGCUAAACCGGGUAAAGAUCCAGGGAAGGUGGAUAGCUAUAGACAAAUAGCUUUGACCUCAAACUUAUGUAAACUGAUGGAAAAGAUGAUAGUUAAAAGAUUGAUAUUCUACCUGGAAAGUAAGGGAUUGAUGAGUGAAGCACAGAGUGGGUUCAGGAGAGGAAGGUCUACUAUGGAUGCACUGGUGGUGGUUAGCACAGAGAUAGCCAAGGCACUUGCUAUGAAGGAGAAGAUGGUGGUGGUGUACUUUGAUAUAGAGAAGGCGUAUGACACUAUGUGGAGAGAGGGGGUGUUAAUGAAGUUAAGUGCAUUGGGAGUUGAGGGAGUUGUAUAAUUGGAUUCUGAAUUUCUUGUUUGACAGGUACAUACAGGUAUGGGUAUGGCACUAUAUGCAGAUGAUGGGGCUUUGUGGAAGAGCGGUAAGAAUGAGAAGUUUGUAAUGAGGAAGAUGCAAGAGGCGGUGGAUGUGGUGGAAGAAUGGUCCAAGAGAUGGGGUUUUAGGAUGUCUGUGACUAAAUCGUGUUUCAUGAUGUACUCGAGGAGGAGAGUGAGAGAGGUUCGGUUACAUAUGUAUGGACAGGAAUUGGGAAGGGUGUUAGAGUUUAAAUAUUUGGGAGUAUGGUUUGAUGAGAGGCUUACAUUCAGGAAACAUGUGCAUGCUACACACACACACACACACAAACGUCCAUUACUUUCGAGGCUCCCCCUUUUCAAUCGGCCUCUCUCCAAACGCCGUCUUACCGUGUGUUCGUGUUCAUCUGCGUCGACAGAUAAUAAAGAGCCCACUAUAGCGAGAAAAGCCGCAGCUGCUACCUUCCACCUGGAAGACCCCAUUCUUUUUCGGAGUAGGAAUACAGCGAGAUUGGGGAUGUUAGCUUUGUAGGGCUAUCCCACCUUCUUCCUGGUUGUAUGACAGAGGCAAUUUUAGGGAUGCUCUCGUUCGCAUUUGGCGUAAGCGCUUCACCACCGCACAUCGCACGCAAAUUUGAUGGGCUGACUUGAGUCACAUGACCCGCAUCCUCCAGUCACGGGGGAAAGCGAUGGAUCAAACGGUGGAUAAAAAAACUCCCGCCUGCGUAUCGUCCGCAACCUUCAGCCACGUCAUCC
This is a long non-coding RNA of Gasterosteus aculeatus aculeatus (three-spined stickleback), 1837 nucleotides long. The record is from Ensembl. Lineage: Eukaryota; Metazoa; Chordata; Actinopteri; Perciformes; Gasterosteidae.